This 409-nucleotide long non-coding RNA is filed under the name Pan troglodytes (chimpanzee). RNAcentral's name for it is "long non-coding RNA NONPTRT012174". The record is from RNAcentral. Lineage: Eukaryota; Metazoa; Chordata; Mammalia; Primates; Hominidae.
GGGAGGCGCGCGAGUUCUGUGCGGUGGACUUGUGCUCCCGCGAGGGGGCGUGUCCUUUCUCGCGCCCGCAGUGUCCCUGAGGGUCCGCGUCUACACGCGGCUGUGAGGAAGGAAGGCGCGUGCCGCGUGGGACGGGCUCCACCUGCCUGCGGACAGAUGGAGGGUCACUUUGUUCCGAGAAGACGCAGGCACCCGAGGGAGGAUGUGAAACGGAACGACCCGUUUCGAAUAAUAACAGGAUGGAGAUGGAGUUUCAUGACAAAAAUGAAGGUGAAUAUGAUGUGGAAAAUACAAAGAUGGAAGCAACAAGCUAAGGAUGCUGGGGCAGAAAGAUGGGAACCUGGGUUACUCAUGACAUCUUGAAACUGCUGCAGCCAUCCUAGACUGGCUGCCUCUAGACUUAAUAUGU